GGUGUAUUAGUUUAAUGGUAGAACCUAACGCUACGGUCGUUAUAAUACGAGUUCAAAUCUUGUAUGCACCU
RNAcentral lists this transfer RNA (71 nucleotides) under Gnomoniopsis sp. IMI 355080. Its description in RNAcentral is "tRNA-Arg". It matches the Rfam family "tRNA". From Rfam's summary of the family: Transfer RNA (tRNA) molecules are approximately 80 nucleotides in length. Their secondary structure includes four short double-helical elements and three loops (D, anti-codon, and T loops). The record is from RNAcentral. Lineage: Eukaryota; Fungi; Ascomycota; Sordariomycetes; Diaporthales; Gnomoniaceae.